This is an RNA transcript of Fragaria vesca subsp. vesca, 1976 nucleotides long. It is a transcript of the gene named aspartic proteinase Asp1-like, with no coding region annotated. NCBI's taxonomy places the organism in Eukaryota, Viridiplantae, Streptophyta, Magnoliopsida, Rosales, Rosaceae. The record is from RefSeq and is a predicted model, not a curated record. The transcript has 8 exons.
ACUGAUUAGAGAUUGGUAUCUUUGUUUGAAACUCAACCCCCUCACAUUAGCAAUCCUCCAAAUCUCAAUGAGGAAACGAAUAAAGAAGCUGGAGAACUAGAAUGAUUUUGCACCGUAAGUGGAACAACCAAGCAAUUAGCAGAGGGAAAGCAAUCCCAUGAAUCCUUAAUGCUCAAGUAAAUGACCACCCAACUCUCUCAUCAUCGAAUCGAUUCCAAUUCAACUGUUUACACCCCCCAACAACACUUUUGGUGCAAACCAAUCAAACCCAUAUGAACAAAUCAAAGUCUCAUUCGGUCAUUCAUAUUCAGACAUUGAUUCGAUCAUUGUAUCUGAUACCCGGAAAGAGAGAGUGAGAAAUGGCCGGGAAGUGGUUGCUGUUGAUGUUGGUGUUGGUGAUGGGUUGGUCUGUAACUCUGACGUCAGCUUCUUUUGGUGAUCGGUAUCGGGGAAGGAAAGCUUUUCUACCGGCGGAAGCGACGUCGUCUUUGGCGAUCAGCCGUGCACCGUCGUCUGUUGUGUUACCUGUUCAUGGAAACGUGUACCCAAUUGGGUCAUAUAAUGUUACCUUAAACAUUGGUCAGCCUCCAAAGCCCUACUUUCUCGACCCCGACACCGGUAGUGAUCUUACAUGGCUCCAAUGUGAUGCUCCUUGUGUUAGAUGUACUGAGGCGCCUCAUCCAUACUACCGGCCUAACAAUGACCUGGUGGUCUGUAGGGACCCUCUCUGUGCAUCCUUGCACGCACCUGGUGCUCACAAAUGCGACAAUCCAGAGCAAUGCGACUAUGAAGUUGAGUAUGCAGAUGGGGGUUCAUCCCUCGGUGUACUUGUAAGGGAUGCCUUUCACCUCAACUUUACAAAUGGGAUCCAGCAAGCACCUCAUCUGGCCCUUGGGUGUGGAUAUGAUCAACUUCCUGGAUCAUCUUAUCAUCCUAUAGAUGGAGUUCUCGGCCUUGGCAAGGGAAAAUCUAGCAUCGUGUCACAACUUGCUAGUCAGGGUCUUGUGCGAAAUGUUGUUGGUCAUUGUUUAAGUUCUCGAGGUGGAGGAUUUUUCAUCUUUGGGGAUGACCUCUAUGAUUAUUCACGCGCAGUUUGGACACCAAUGUCACCAGAUUACUCAAAACAUUAUUCACCUGGAUCUGCGGAACUGAUCUUUGAUGGGAAGACUACUGGAAUGAGAAACCUACACUUGGUUUUUGACAGUGGGAGUUCUUACACUUAUCUCAAUUCUCAGGCUUAUCAUUUUUUGACUUUAUGGUUGAAGAGGGAGCUAAAUGGAAAGCCUCUAAAAGAAACUUCAGAUGACAGAACUCUCCCGCUCUGUUGGAAGGGUCGAAAACCAUUUAAGAACAUACGUGAAGUCAAGAAAUACUUCAAGCCCAUAGCACUGAGAUUUGCCAUUGGAAGAAAGGAUGCAGCUCAGUUUGAAUUGUCCCCUGAAGCUUAUCUAAUAAUAUCCUCCAAGGGAAAUGUUUGCUUGGGAAUUUUAGAUGGCACUGAAGUUGGCUUACAAAAUUCAAACAUCAUUGGAGACAUUUCAAUGCAAGAUAAGAUGAUCUAUUUAUGACAAUGACAAGCAGAUGAUUGGUUGGACUCCUGGAAACUGUGAUCAACUACCCAAGUCUAGAACCUUCAGCUUCUGGUGAUUCUUCAUAAUUUCUCAGACUUGGGUUAUAAUGGUUUGUGCUCACAGACCAUUUGUUCAGGAGUAAAAAUAAUCUCAGCUAUAUCUUUAUGGAAGGCGGAUAGUGCCUAGUUUUACUGUAUGAUCUACAUAUUCUCCACCAAUAUAUGUUGGUGAAAACACUAUGAAUUGUUACCCAAGUUCUAUUCUCAGGUGUAUCUAUCUGAAUUCUGAAGGGGGAUAAUCUAUUUUUACUGUAUAGUCUAUGGUCAUAUGUGCGUGUACAUCGAAGCUAGCUUGGUAUUUCCAACCAGUAUAAGCUGAUGAAAGUUAUACUAUACUGCAAGUUAU